UUGCUAGUAAUCGCGGAUCAGCAUGCCGCGGUGAAUACGUUCCCGGGUCUUGUACACACCGCCCGUCACACCAUGGGAGCCGGUAAUACCCGAAGUCAGUAGUUUAACCCUUGUGGAGGACGCUGCCGAAGGUAGGAUUGGCGACUGGGGUGAAGUCGUAACAAGGUAUC
RNAcentral lists this ribosomal RNA (170 nucleotides) under uncultured bacterium. RNAcentral's name for it is "partial 16S ribosomal RNA". It matches the Rfam family "Bacterial small subunit ribosomal RNA", at positions 1332 to 1500 of the family's 1533-position model. The record is from RNAcentral.